This 497-nucleotide ribosomal RNA is filed under the name uncultured bacterium. Its description in RNAcentral is "partial 16S ribosomal RNA". It matches the Rfam family "Bacterial small subunit ribosomal RNA", at positions 28 to 507 of the family's 1533-position model. The record is from RNAcentral.
GAUGAACGCUGGCGGCGUGCCUAAUACAUGCAAGUCGAGCGAACAGACGAGGAGCUUGCUCCUCUGACGUUAGCGGCGGACGGGUGAGUAACACGUGGAUAACCUACCUAUAAGACUGGGAUAACUUCGGGAAACCGGAGCUAAUACCGGAUAAUAUAUUGAACCGCAUGGUUCAAUAGUGAAAUACGGUUUUGCUGUCACUUAUAGCUGGAUCCGCGCCGCAUUAGCUAGUUGGUAAGGUAACGGCUUACCAAGGCGACGAUGCGUAGCCGACCUGAGAGGGGGAUAGGGCCACAGUGAAAGUGAAAAACGGCCAGGAGUCUUAGGGAGGGCACAGUAGGGAAUCUUACGCAAUGGGCGAAAGCCUGACGGAGCAACGCCGCGUGAGUGAUGAAGGUCUUCGGAUCGUAAAACUCUGUUAUUAGGGAAGAACAAAUGUGUAAGUAACUAUGCACGUCUUGACGGUACCUAAUCAGAAAGCCACGGCUAACUACGUG